AUGACCUUUAAAGUUAGUCCCGUGAGGCUAAGAAGGAAAUCUGCACAAGCUAAUACUUUUUGUCGUUAGCUAAUACAGAAGGACCAUCUUGAGCCAUGCGCUCUUGGUGGUCUUUUUCUU
Molecule: regulatory RNA element, 120 nt
Organism: Lactobacillus crispatus ST1
Lineage: Bacteria; Bacillati; Bacillota; Bacilli; Lactobacillales; Lactobacillaceae
Rfam family: PyrR binding site
About the family: This family represents the PyrR binding site and terminator structure. This RNA structure is found upstream of a variety of genes involved in pyrimidine biosynthesis and transport. The alignment also includes a portion of the antiterminator structure.
Source: Rfam